GAUGAACGCUGGCGGCGUGCCUAAUACAUGCCAGUCGAGCGAACAGACGAGGAGCUUGCUCCUCUGACGUUAGCGGCGGACGGGUGAGUAACACGUGGAUAACCUACCUAUAAGACUGGGAUAACUUCGGGAAACCGGAGCUAAUACCGGAUAAUAUAUUGAACCGCAUGGUUCAAUAGUGAAAGACGGUUUUGCUGUCACUUAUAGAUGGAUCCGCGCCGCAUUAGCUAGUUGGUAAGGUAACGGCUUACCAAGGCAACGAUGCGUAGCCGACCGGAGGGGGUGAUCGGCCACACUGGAACUGAGACACGGUCCAGACUCCUACGGGAGGCAGCAGUAGGGAAUCUUCCGCAAUAGGCGAAAGCCUGACGGAGCAACGCCGCGUGAGUGAUGAAGGUCUUCGGAUCGUAAAACUCUGUUAUUAGGGAAGAACAAAUGUGUAAGUAACUAUGCACGUCUUGACGGUACCUAAUCAGAAAGCCACGGCUAACUACGUG
This 497-nucleotide ribosomal RNA is filed under the name uncultured bacterium. RNAcentral's name for it is "partial 16S ribosomal RNA". It matches the Rfam family "Bacterial small subunit ribosomal RNA", at positions 28 to 507 of the family's 1533-position model. The record is from RNAcentral.